UAGCAGUGAGGUGGUCAUGUAGGCAAAUCCGCAUGGCAUAACAUUGAGCUGUGAUGCCGAAGCCGUAUGGCGAAGUCAACUGAUGUCACGCUUCCAAGAAAAGCUUCUAGGGUUAAUUUAGUAAGUGCCCGUACCGAUAACCGACACAGGUAGGCGAGGAGAGAAUCCUAAGAUGAGCGAGAGAACUCUUGUUAAGGAACUCGGCAAAAUGACCCCGUAACUUCGGGAGAAGGGGUGCUUGUGAGAGCAAGCCGCAGUGAAUAGGCCCAGGCGACUGUUUAUCAAAAACACAGGUCUCUGCUAAACCGCAAGGUGAUGUAUAGGGGCUGACGCCUGCCCGGUGCUGGAAGGUUAAGAGGAGAGGUUAGCGCAAGCGAAGCUUUGAAUUGAAGCCCCAGUAAACGGCGGCCGUAACUAUAACGGUCCUAAGGUAGCGAAAUUCCUUGUCGGGUAAGUUCCGACCCGCACGAAAGGCGUAACGAUCUGGGCGCUGUCUCAACAGGAGACUCGGUGAAAUCAUAGUACCUGUGAAGAUGCAGGUUACCCGCGACAGGACGGAAAGACCCCGUGGAGCUUUACUGUAGCUUGAUAUUGAGCACUGGUGACACAUGUACAGGAUAGGUAGGAGACGAAGAAGCCAGGACGCCAGUCUUGGUGGAGUCGCUGUUGGGAUACUACCCUUGUGUUACUGGGGUUCUAACCCGUGGCCAUGGUCUGGUCAGGGAACAGUGUCAGGUGGGCAGUUUGACUGGGGCGGUCGCCUCCCAAAGAGUAACGGAGGCGCCCAAAGGUUCCCUCAGAAUGGUUGGAAAUCAUUCGAAGAGUGUAAAGGCAGAAGGGAGCAUGACUGCGAGACCUACAAGUCGAGCAGGGACGAAAGUCGGGCUUAGUGAUCCGGCGGUACCGAAUGGAAGGGCCGUCGCUCAACGGAUAAAGCUACCCCGGGGAUAACAGGCUGAUCUCCCCCCAGAGUUCACAUCGACGGGGAGGUUUGGCACCUCGAUGUCGGCUCAUCGCAUCCUGGGGCUGUAGUCGGUCCCAAGGGUUGGGCUGUUCGCCCAUUAAAGCGGUACGCGAGCUGGGUUCAGAACGUCGUGAGACAGUUCGGUCCCUAUCCGUCGUGGGCGUAGGAAAUUUGAGAGGAGCUGUCCUUAGUACGAGAGGACCGGGAUGGACACACCGCUGGUGUACCAGUUGUUCUGCCAGGAGCAUAGCUGGGUAGCUACGUGUGGACGGGAUAAACGCUGAAAGCAUCUAAGCGCGAAGCCCCCCUCAAGAUGAGAUUUCCCAUUCGAAAGAAGUAAGAUCCCUUGAAGACGACAAGGUAGAUAGGUCAGAAGUGGAAGUGUGUGACACAUGGAGCGGACUGAUACUAAUCGAUCGAGGACUUAACC
Molecule: ribosomal RNA, 1394 nt
Filed under: metagenome
Description: bacterial LSU rRNA
Rfam family: Bacterial large subunit ribosomal RNA
Source: RNAcentral